RNAcentral lists this ribosomal RNA (776 nucleotides) under uncultured Neocallimastigales. RNAcentral describes it as "partial large subunit ribosomal RNA". It matches the Rfam family "Eukaryotic large subunit ribosomal RNA", at positions 22 to 643 of the family's 3401-position model. The record is from RNAcentral. Lineage: Eukaryota; Fungi; Neocallimastigomycota; Neocallimastigomycetes; Neocallimastigales.
CAUAGCGACUAUCGUGGCAUAUCAAUAAGCGGAGGAAAAGAAACUAACAAGGAUUCCCCUAGUAACGGCGAGUGAAGCGGGAAGAGCUCAAAUUUGAAAUCUUAAAGGGUUUCCCUUGACGAAUUGUAGUCUAAAGAAGUGUUUUCUGUUGAAGUUUCGGUAAAAGUUCUUUGGAAUAGGACAUCAUAGAGGGUGAGAAUCCCGUAUUUGACCGUUACUUUCCAGCUGUGUGAUACACUUUCAAAGAGUCGGAUUGUUUGGGAAUGCAGUCCAAAAUGGGUGGUAAAUUUCAUCUAAAGCUAAAUAUUGGCGAGAGACCGAUAGCGAACAAGUACCGUGAGGGAAAGAUGAAAAGAACUUUGAAAAGAGAGUUAAACAGUACGUGAAAUUGUCAAAAGGGAAGCGUUUGACACCAGUGUUGUUUAGUUGAAAAUCAAUUCAAUAAUUUUUGAUUUUAAGUAGUAUUGACUUCAUCAGCUUGCUGCUUUCUUUUCGGAAAUUAUUGAAUGCACUUUUCAGUUAACAAGUCAACAUCAAUUUCUUUUGUUGUAAAAGGGUAAGAGGAAGGUGGCUUACGCUUCGGCGUAAGUGUUUAUAGCCUUUUACCUCUGCAAUCGGAGAGAUUGAGGACAGCAGCGUAGACUCCUUCGGGGGUUAGAUACACUUGUGCUAAGCUAUAGCCUUGUAUAGACAACUUGUUGACUAUGCUCAGUCAUGUAGCUUACUCGCUUGUGCUAUUUUACCUACGCUUAGGAUGUUGAAGAUAUGCGCGACAC